Long non-coding RNA from Oncorhynchus kisutch (coho salmon), 1667 nucleotides. RefSeq lists it as uncharacterized. NCBI's taxonomy places the organism in Eukaryota, Metazoa, Chordata, Actinopteri, Salmoniformes, Salmonidae. The record is from RefSeq and is a predicted model, not a curated record. The transcript has 4 exons.
AGUUGCCGUUUUUGCAAUCUCUUACAUGUAACAUAUUACAUGUAAUCCGUUACUCCCCAACCCUGAAUAUGGUUUGAAAAAAACUACAACUACUGAGCAAUUUGGAAAGAUUUGUUUUUCCAGGAGUGGUUUUCUCUUUGAAGAUACAAGUUUGAGCAUCUGUAUAAUCGUCGGCAAGGAAACGAGACGCUGCACAGCAAAGGAAAAUCUUGCGCAGGAGAGCAUACAUACAUACCUCUCACGUCAAUCAUGAUUAGUUCGUGAAAUAGUCAGAAACUGUUACAUACUUUCCCGCGGAUUGAAGUAACGCUAUAUAGUGACACAAGUUUGAAGUUUUAGUGACAAGGAAUUGUCAGGAUGAAACAUGUCUGUCGAGGAGAAUGUUCCCCCCUUUUAGGAGGAUGACAGAGUAAAGUUUAUAAAAACAAACGUUUUGUCGGAUUUUGGAAGUGAGGCAUGAAACCUGGGAGAAGAAGUGUGUUACAGUCGAGGAAAGCCAGACCGUUCUGAAAGGCGUCUUCGAAAAGCAAGGUAUUGUUUUUGACUCUACCGUCGACUGGUGCUCCCCGAGGCCUUACCUGCUUCUGAAGACAAAUAAUGUUAUGUUCUCAAGAAGAAAGCUGUGUCCAUAAUUGCUGAAAACUGCAGGAAACUUUUUGGCUUGGUCUCCCAGCCUCUUAUUCCACAGAUGUCAUUCACUGUUGAACAGUGCAGUGUGGAGGUCUGGACAAUGACCAAGUGGAGGGAGAUAAACAUGGACCAGAUGGGCGCAGAGCUCAGGAGGUUUGUCAAGAUACCUUGUAACUGGCGAUUCCUUCAAAAUGAUUGCUUACAGUUACUGUGCAAGGUUGGGUGACCAGGGCCAUCUGGGACUGCCUCCUGGAGGAAUUCAGGUGUGUGAAGGCUACCUGUGUUCUGCAUAACUUCAUGAGGAUAGACACAAGGAGCAGGAGGGGAUCUGCAGCUUCCGCUGUGUGUCAGAGGAGAAGUCUGCUGUUCUGCAGGAUGUUUCAAAGAUGGGGUCCAACAACCAGCAAGAGAGGCAAUCCAUGUGCGGGAGAUCUGCACCUCCUACUUCUUAGACGAGGUUGCUGUUCCCUGGCAACACCAUAGACUACACUAUGCACAACCAAAGGCUCUUUUAAGAGCCAUUCACAUUGCAAAAUUAAUAUUCUUCCAUUUACUUGGCUAUGUCAACUGCAGUUAUUAAAAUCCCAGUUUCUCUCCCUUUCUACUUAUCAGGUAAGGGUUUGACGUCUGUACAAAAACAAAAACAGGCUAUUUUAAAUCACCCAUAUUGAAAAAAUGUACAACAAUUAGACACCCUAUAACCCACACACUCAUGUAUAAAUCUGAUUGACGGAUUGUGUUGUGCAGUAAGCAGGCUCGGGUGUAUAACUGUGGCUCCUUCCACCUUCAAAGAAUAGGCAAGAGGGCCAACCAUGGAGAAUAGGCAAGAGGGCCAACCAUGGAGAAUAGUACGACACCUCAUUAUUUCUGUAACUACUCUGCAUUGUUUGUCCGUUCAUGUUUUUCAGCAUAAAGUGCUCUGCAGACACUUUCCCUUUGUCUUUUACACCUCUCUAACUGCCCCCUCUUUCCUCCACUGUUGUAUAAUGCACAACAGAUGUGCAUGGAAGUACAGGUUGAACUUGUAUUUAUAAUGC